GCUUACGGCCAUACCACCCUGAGCACGCCCGAUCUCAUCUGAUCUCGGAAGCUAAGCAGUGUCGGGCCUGGUUAGUACUUGGAUGGGAGACCGCCUGGGAAUACCAGGUGCUGUAAGCU
Betta splendens (Siamese fighting fish) is the source of this 119-nucleotide ribosomal RNA. Lineage: Eukaryota; Metazoa; Chordata; Actinopteri; Anabantiformes; Osphronemidae. The record is from Ensembl.